RNAcentral lists this long non-coding RNA (1431 nucleotides) under Brassica rapa (field mustard). RNAcentral's name for it is "long non-coding RNA (BRAP_LNC000679)". The record is from RNAcentral. Lineage: Eukaryota; Viridiplantae; Streptophyta; Magnoliopsida; Brassicales; Brassicaceae.
CCUCAUUAACCCAUGUAUUUAGGGUUUUCUAGACUAAUAUAUAUGAUGUAAGAAUCCUACAUUGAAUGCAACUAAGGCUGCGGUUUGUGCAGCCAAAACCUUAUCUUUAUGAAUAUCAUUUCAGAAUCAUUUAGAUCUUGGUGACAACUUAAAUCUCUUCUCCUCUCUUUACUUUCUUGUUCAAUAAAGCUUAAUAAGCUAUCUCUAUUUCUGUUUAAAUAAAGCCCUUUGAGCAUUUUCUACUUUUGUUAUCAUGGUAUCAGAGUUUCAGUCGAUUUUCAUGGGUUACCCUAUCUUUUUCUAGCUUCUGCACCCUCUAUCUAAGCCAUCGACAAUAUGCUGGUUCAUGGGCGAAAUCCAAAGAAAAGAAAGAGACUUUCUGCAAUUGUGCUGCAGAUCUGUGUUGAUAUGACAGUGAAGUUUAAGCUCUACUCUUUCCACCACGGUCGCCUGAUAAGAAAAGCCAGAAGCAGAUCUUCCAAUCGAAGAAGAAGAGGAAGUUGGGCUCCAGCAAAUCAACAUGUUAUUGGGCCUUCCAGAUAAAAGCCCAUCUGCUAAAAAAAAAUAUGGAAACACGAGAAGAAGCGCUUGUGGGAACAAAAGCAGGGGAAGCUCCUUCAUGUCUCUUCAUCAGCGCAUAUCUUCUGGUAUGUUAUGAAUGAUUUAGUGCUAUAGGCUUGGAAUCUGGAAGGAAAAUGAAUAGGCUAGUUCUGGGUUUGAUAGCGAUGAGAUAAAUGGCGACAAGUUUUGUUUUGAUGAGUACACACAAGAUGUUUGGUUAAAUGUCCAGAAGAAAAACAGAUUGUGAAAAUGAGGAGUUUUGAUGGCAGAUGAAUAGGAAAUAGGGAGUUGGGUUUAGGCUGUUGUAGGAUGGAUAUUCUCUUUUGCCGUGAGAUAGCUUAGUCCAGUUAGGAGGAUAAAAAGAAAAAUCCCCAACUUGUUGUAAGACAAAUAGGUCAAAAGAACCUGAAGAUGUUCUCACACUUAUGUCUAUUCUCCAAGCUGAAUAGAGUCAUCUACCUGCCUUCCAUGGAUCUUCAACUACUCAUGCUCCUUUCAAAGCCAGCUCCAUGUGCAUCUUCAAACUUGGCUCAGCUGCUUGCUUCACCACCCGAUGCCAAGUUUGCGGGAGGAUAUUGAAGCCCACAUACAAGCCCAACUUAUAUCUACUAAGAAGCCUCAUUAACCCAUGUAUUUAGGGUUUUCUAGACUAAUAUAUAUGAUGUAAGAAUCCUACAUUGAAUGCAACUAAGGCUGCGGUUUGUGCAGCCAAAACCUUAUCUUUAUGAAUAUCAUUUCAGAAUCAUUUAGAUCUUGGUGACAACUUAAAUCUCUUCUCCUCUCUUUACUUUCUUGUUCAAUAAAGCUUAAUAAGCUAUCUCUAUUUCUGUUUAAAUAAAGCCCUUUGAGCAUUUUCUACUUUUGUUAUCA